Molecule: ribosomal RNA, 460 nt
Filed under: uncultured bacterium
Lineage: Bacteria
Description: partial 16S ribosomal RNA
Rfam family: Bacterial small subunit ribosomal RNA
Source: RNAcentral
CCUACGGGAGGCAGCAGUGAGGAAUAUUCGUCAAUGGACGCGAGUCUGAACCAGCCAAGUAGCGUGAAGGAUGACUGCCCUAUGGGUUGUAAACUUCUUUUAUACAAGAAUAAAACGAGGCACGUGUGCCUGUUUGCAAGUACUUUAUGAAUAAGGAUCGGCUAACUCCGUGCCAGCAGCCGCGGUAAUACGGAGGAUCCGAGCGUUAUCCGGAUUUAUUGGGUUUAAAGGGAGCGUAGAUGGGUUGUUAAGUCAGUGGUGAAAGUUUGCGGCUCAACCGUAAAAUUGCAAUUGAUACUGGCAGUCUUGAGUAUAGUUGAGGUAGGCGGAAUGCGUGGUGUAGCGGUGAAAUGCAUAGAUAUCACGAAGAACCCCGAUUGCGAAGGCAGCUUACUAAACUGCGACUGACAUUGAGGCUCGAAAGUGUGGGUAGCAAACAGGAUUAGAUACCCCAGUAGUC